This is a non-coding RNA of Osmia lignaria (orchard mason bee), 427 nucleotides long. NCBI's taxonomy places the organism in Eukaryota, Metazoa, Arthropoda, Insecta, Hymenoptera, Megachilidae. The record is from RefSeq and is a predicted model, not a curated record.
UGUACCGACCCCUGCCGACGUGACGUUCGAUUGUCGGUGCUGAGCGGAUUGCAGAAUCACCGCUUAAAAUAUUGCCCACCUGUUGUCGAACACCCUGUAUAUUACUUCGGAGCCCUCGACGCCUGGCAUACUGGUGACCAUCUCGAGCGUCUAGCAUGUGGUCGAUACCAGGGGCACACCCGGCGCCGGCCCCUCCUCGGGCCACGUGCAAUGGCGUCUGGAGCCCCCACUUUAGAGAAAUUUUGCAAUGUAUUUAUUGAUAAGGAAUAGAAACAGAUGCUCUUCAAAUGCACCAAAUUUAUUAAUUUGAAUAAUUACCUGAAUGCGUACAUCGAAAAAGAAACAGACAAACACAAAAACAACAAUUGGAAUCAGAUUAUACCAGAAACUUGACCAGUUAUCGAUUUGGAAAGAAGUAACAAAUGCA